AGGGAUGUAGCUCAGUAGUAGAGCACUUACCUAGCAUAUGUGAGGCCCUGGGUUCAAUCCCCAGCACCACAC
RNAcentral lists this transfer RNA (72 nucleotides) under Ictidomys tridecemlineatus (thirteen-lined ground squirrel). RNAcentral's name for it is "Spermophilus tridecemlineatus (thirteen-lined ground squirrel) tRNA". It matches the Rfam family "tRNA". From Rfam's summary of the family: Transfer RNA (tRNA) molecules are approximately 80 nucleotides in length. Their secondary structure includes four short double-helical elements and three loops (D, anti-codon, and T loops). Further hydrogen bonds mediate the characteristic L-shaped molecular structure. tRNAs have two regions of fundamental functional importance: the anti-codon, which is responsible for specific mRNA codon recognition, and the 3' end, to which the tRNAs corresponding amino acid is attached (by aminoacyl-tRNA synthetases). tRNAs cope with the degeneracy of the genetic code in two manners: having more than one tRNA (with a specific anti-codon) for a particular amino acid; and 'wobble' base-pairing, i.e. permitting non-standard base-pairing at the 3rd anti-codon position. Lineage: Eukaryota; Metazoa; Chordata; Mammalia; Rodentia; Sciuridae. RNAcentral also lists the same sequence under 1 other name. The record is from Rfam by way of RNAcentral.